UCUGGCAGAGAAACCCUUUUGCAAAGGCCCUCAGGUAGGUAUAAGGACCUGGGGCCUGAUAUACCAGGACAACAGGAAAGAGGCCACGUGAGCCUGUUGGGGGAAGAGGACAGAGGAAUGGCAACCCUGGCGGGGCCCCGCCGGCCACACGGGGAGCCUGGAUUUAAAGUGAGUAUGUCUUCAGCCACAUUGCCUUUGGAGAGUCACAGACAGGAGUGACGAGAUCUGGGUCGUGUUUUUCAGAGUCCUCCCUGCUGCUGUGUGGACGACACGUGGGCACAGGCAGAAGUGGGCCCUGUGACCAGCUGCACUGGUUUCGUGGAAGGAAGCUCCAGGACUGGCGGGAUGGGCUCAGCCUGUAUCAAAGUCACCAAAUACUUUCUCUUCCUCUUCAACUUGAUCUUCUUUGUAAGUAUGUCCCAUGCCGUCCUGACCACCUCCGAAAAGAUUCUCCUCCCAGGGGCAUCCCAGCCUGAGCCUUUCCAGAGCCGACCGGGCCGGGGAUUGGGGGGAUUUGGUGGGUAGGGACUGAGGACGAACUAUCUCCAAUGGAACCUAGUGGGGGUGGUGAGGAGAUUCCCUGCCAUUCCUACCUGGUCCUUUGACCAAGCACUGGAUUCCUGACCCGGCCUUCCCCUCUCCUAGAUCACCCAAAGCCUGGGCUGGCGGUGGGUAUGGG
RNAcentral lists this small RNA (679 nucleotides) under Pan troglodytes (chimpanzee). RNAcentral describes it as "retained intron". The record is from RNAcentral. Lineage: Eukaryota; Metazoa; Chordata; Mammalia; Primates; Hominidae.